GUAGGUGGCAAGCGUUGUCCGGAAUUAUUGGGCGUAAAGCGCGCGCAGGCGGUUCAUUAAGUCUUAUGUGAAAGCCCACGGCUCAACCGUGGAGGGUCAUUGGAAACUGGAGAACUUGAGUACAGAAGAGGAAAGCGGAAUUCCACGUGUAGCGGUGAAAUGCGUAGAGAUGUGGAGGAACACCAGUGGCGAAGGCGGCUUUCUGGUCUGUAACUGACGCUGAGGCGCGAAAGCGUGGGGGAGCAAACAGGAUUAGAUACCCUGGUAGUCCACGCCGUAAACGAUGAGUGCUAAGUGUUAGGGGGUUUCCGCCCCUUAGUGCUGCAGCUAACGCAUUAAGCACUCCGCCUGGGAGUACGGCCGCAAGGCUG
This 371-nucleotide ribosomal RNA is filed under the name uncultured organism. Its description in RNAcentral is "partial 16S ribosomal RNA". It matches the Rfam family "Bacterial small subunit ribosomal RNA", at positions 527 to 896 of the family's 1533-position model. The record is from RNAcentral.